AAAUUGAAGAGUUUGAUCAUGGCUCAGAUUGAACGCUGGCGGCAGGCCUAACACAUGCAAGUCGAGCGGUAGCACAGAGAGCUUGCUCUCGGGUGACGAGCGGCGGACGGGUGAGUAAUGUCUGGGAAACUGCCUGAUGGAGGGGGAUAACUACUGGAAACGGUAGCUAAUACCGCAUAACGUCGCAAGACCAAAGUGGGGGACCUUCGGGCCUCAUGCCAUCAGAUGUGCCCAGAUGGGAUUAGCUAGUAGGUGGGGUAACGGCUCACCUAGGCGACGAUCCCUAGCUGGUCUGAGAGGAUGACCAGCCACACUGGAACUGAGACACGGUCCAGACUCCUACGGGAGGCAGCAGUGGGGAAUAUUGCACAAUGGGCGCAAGCCUGAUGCAGCCAUGCCGCGUGUGUGAAGAAGGCCUUCGGGUUGUAAAGCACUUUCAGCGGGGAGGAAGGCGAUAAGGUUAAUAACCUUGUCGAUUGACGUUACCCGCAGAAGAAGCACCGGCUAACUCCGUGCCAGCAGCCGCGGUAAUACGGAGGGUGCAAGCGUUAAUCGGAAUUACUGGGCGUAAAGCGCACGCAGGCGGUCUGUCAAGUCGGAUGUGAAAUCCCCGGGCUCAACCUGGGAACUGCAUUCGAAACUGGCAGGCUAGAGUCUUGUAGAGGGGGGUAGAAUUCCAGGUGUAGCGGUGAAAUGCGUAGAGAUCUGGAGGAAUACCGGUGGCGAAGGCGGCCCCCUGGACAAAGACUGACGCUCAGGUGCGAAAGCGUGGGGAGCAAACAGGAUUAGAUACCCUGGUAGUCCACGCCGUAAACGAUGUCGAUUUGGAGGUUGUGCCCUUGAGGCGUGGCUUCCGGAGCUAACGCGUUAAAUCGACCGCCUGGGGAGUACGGCCGCAAGGUUAAAACUCAAAUGAAUUGACGGGGGCCCGCACAAGCGGUGGAGCAUGUGGUUUAAUUCGAUGCAACGCGAAGAACCUUACCUGGUCUUGACAUCCACAGAACUUUCCAGAGAUGGAUUGGUGCCUUCGGGAACUGUGAGACAGGUGCUGCAUGGCUGUCGUCAGCUCGUGUUGUGAAAUGUUGGGUUAAGUCCCGCAACGAGCGCAACCCUUAUCCUUUGUUGCCAGCGGUCCGGCCGGGAACUCAAAGGAGACUGCCAGUGAUAAACUGGAGGAAGGUGGGGAUGACGUCAAGUCAUCAUGGCCCUUACGACCAGGGCUACACACGUGCUACAAUGGCAUAUACAAAGAGAAGCGACCUCGCGAGAGCAAGCGGACCUCAUAAAGUAUGUCGUAGUCCGGAUUGGAGUCUGCAACUCGACUCCAUGAAGUCGGAAUCGCUAGUAAUCGUAGAUCAGAAUGCUACGGUGAAUACGUUCCCGGGCCUUGUACACACCGCCCGUCACACCAUGGGAGUGGGUUGCAAAAGAAGUAGGUAGCUUAACCUUCGGGAGGGCGCUUACCACUUUGUGAUUCAUGACUGGGGUGAAGUCGUAACAAGGUAACCGUAGGGGAACCUGCGGUUGGAUCACCUCCUUACCUUAAAGAA
This 1550-nucleotide ribosomal RNA is filed under the name Klebsiella pneumoniae. RNAcentral describes it as "bacterial SSU rRNA". It matches the Rfam family "Bacterial small subunit ribosomal RNA". RNAcentral also lists the same sequence under 3 other names. Lineage: Bacteria; Pseudomonadati; Pseudomonadota; Gammaproteobacteria; Enterobacterales; Enterobacteriaceae. The record is from RNAcentral.